This 288-nucleotide long non-coding RNA is filed under the name Mustela putorius furo (domestic ferret). Its description in RNAcentral is "lncRNA (ENSMPUG00000026526.1)". The record is from RNAcentral. Lineage: Eukaryota; Metazoa; Chordata; Mammalia; Carnivora; Mustelidae.
GGGGAAGCCCCACAGGGAGAGGGAGAAGCCCACUCCUCGCUGAGCAGGGAGCCAGAUAUGGAGCUCCAUCCCAGAACCUUGGGAUCAUGACCAGAUGGGAAGGCAGAGGCUAACAGAUGAAGCUACCCAGUGUGUGGAUGAUCCUGAUCUGUGCUUUUAGCCUGAACGCCUCAAACUGUGCUACAGACCCGUCCACUCACUCUUCCAGAAUCCUCGAACCUAUCUUACUGGAGAGAAGGGCCCUUUCUGUCAUCUGGAAAAAUAGGUCAAAUGCUGCAGAGACACUGG